RNAcentral lists this ribosomal RNA (729 nucleotides) under uncultured Bacteroidota bacterium. RNAcentral describes it as "bacterial SSU rRNA". It matches the Rfam family "Bacterial small subunit ribosomal RNA", at positions 28 to 754 of the family's 1533-position model. The record is from RNAcentral. Lineage: Bacteria; Pseudomonadati; Bacteroidota.
GAUGAACGCUAGCGGCAGGCCUAAUACAUGCAAGUCGAGGGGUAGAUAAGUGCUUGCACUUAUUGAGACCGGCGAACGGGUGCGUAACACGUAUGCAACCUACCUUCAACUGGGAAAUAGCCCGAAGAAAUUCGGAUUAAUAUCCCAUAAUUUUACUUUAAGGCAUCUUUUAGUAAUUAAAGCUCCGGCGGUUGGAGAUGGGCAUGCGGUCCAUUAGUUAGUUGGUGAGGUAACGGCUCACCAAGACCACGAUGGAUAGGGGGUCUGAGAGGAUGAUCCCCCACACUGGUACUGAGACACGGACCAGACUCCUACGGGAGGCAGCAGUAGGGAAUAUUGGACAAUGGGCGCAAGCCUGAUCCAGCCAUGCCGCGUGCAGGAUGACGGCCCUAUGGGUUGUAAACUGCUUUUAUAUGGGAAGAAACACUCCGACGUGUCGGAGCUUGACGGUACCAUACGAAUAAGGAUCGGCUAACUCCGUGCCAGCAGCCGCGGUAAUACGGAGGGUCCGAGCGUUAUCCGGAAUCAUUGGGUUUAAAGGGUCCGUAGGCGGGAAUCUAAGUCAGUGGUGAAAUCUUGCAGCUCAACUGUAAAAUUGCCAUUGAUACUGGAUUUCUUGAAUUAGUGUGAAGUGGUUAGAAUGUGUAGUGUAGCGGUGAAAUGCAUAGAUAUUACACAGAAUACCAAUUGCGAAGGCAGCUCACUAACACUAUAUUGACGCUGAGGGAC